CACACAUUCAUUUGUAAGUUGCUUUGGAUAAAAGCGUCUGCUAAAUGACUAAAU
Molecule: non-coding RNA, 54 nt
Organism: Danio rerio (zebrafish)
Lineage: Eukaryota; Metazoa; Chordata; Actinopteri; Cypriniformes; Danionidae
Source: Rfam